Molecule: ribosomal RNA, 380 nt
Filed under: uncultured eukaryote
Lineage: Eukaryota
Description: partial 18S ribosomal RNA
Rfam family: Eukaryotic small subunit ribosomal RNA
Source: RNAcentral
CAAUAGCGUAUAUUAAAGUUGUUGCAGUUAGAACGCUCGUAGUCGGAUUUCGGGGCGAGCCUUCCGGUCUGCCGAUGGGUAUGCACUGGUCGGGUCGUCCUUCCUUCCGGAGACCGUCCCUACUCUUAACUGAGCGGGGGCGGGAGACGGAAUUUUUACUUUGAAAAAAUCAGAGUGUUUCAAGCAGGCAGCUCGCUCUUGCAUGGAUUAGCAUGGGAUAAUGAAAUAGGACUUUGGUGCUAUUUUGUUGGUUUCGAACACCGAAGUAAUGAUGAGAAGGGACAGUCAGGGGCACUCGUAUUCCGCCGAGAGAGGUGAAAUUCUCAGACCAGCGGAAGACGAACCACUGCGAAAGCAUUUGCCAGGGAUGUUUUCACUGA